UACGGCUCAGUAACACGUAGCUAACCUAACCUAAAGGGGAAAAUAAUGUCGGGAAACUGACUCUAAUGUUCCAUAGAAGAUUUUUUCUGGAAUGAAUUAUCUUUGAAGUUUUCUUUAGGAUGGGGCUGCGGUGGAUUAGGUUGUUGGCGGGGUAAUAGCCCACCAAGCCGAAGAUCUGUAAGGGCUCUUAGCGGAGAGGCCCUGAGAGGGAAUCUGAGACACUAUUCCCAGCCCUACGGGGUGCAGCAGUCUAGAAACUUCUACAAUGCACGCAAGUGUGAUAGAGCAAGCCAAAGUGCUUUUCCAUAUUUGGAGAAGCUUUUGUGAGAUGUAAAAAGCCUCACGAAUAAGGACUGGGCAAGACUGGUGCCAGCCGCCGCGGUAAUACCAGCGGUCCGAGUCGCAAUCAUGUUUAUUGGGUCUAAAACAUCCGUAGCUUGCUAUGUAAGUGCCUUGUGAAAUCCUGCCUCUUAAGGGUAGAAGUGCAAGGCAUACUGCAUAGCUAGGGACCGGGAGACGUGAAGAGUACGGUUAGGGUAGCGGUAAAAUGUGUUGAUCCUAUCUGGACUAACGAUAGCGAAGGCACUUCACGAGAACGGAUCUGACAGUAAGGGAUGAAGGCUAGGGGCGCAAAACGGAUUAGAUACCCGUGUAGUCCUAGCAGUAAACACUGCACACUAAACAUUGGGACCUCUUCGAGAGGCCUCAGUGCUGAAGGGAAGCCGUAGAGUGUGCUACCUGGGAAGUAUAGUCGCAAGGCCGAAACUUAAAGGAAUUGGCGGA
RNAcentral lists this ribosomal RNA (783 nucleotides) under uncultured archaeon. RNAcentral's name for it is "bacterial SSU rRNA". It matches the Rfam family "Archaeal small subunit ribosomal RNA", at positions 84 to 872 of the family's 1478-position model. The record is from RNAcentral.